UACAGAGGGUGCAAGCGUUAAUCGGAUUUACUGGGCGUAAAGGGCGCGUAGGCGGCGCAACAAGUCACUUGUGAAAUCUCCGGGCUUAACCCGGAGCGGCCAAGUGAUACUGUUGUGCUAGAGUGCGGAAGGGGCUACUGGAAUUCUCGGUGUAGCGGUGAAAUGCGUAGAUAUCGAGAGGAACACCUGCGGCGAAGGCGGGUAGCUGGGCCGACACUGACGCUGAGGCGCGAAAGCCAGGGGAGCGAACGGG
RNAcentral lists this ribosomal RNA (253 nucleotides) under uncultured bacterium. RNAcentral describes it as "partial 16S ribosomal RNA". It matches the Rfam family "Bacterial small subunit ribosomal RNA", at positions 524 to 776 of the family's 1533-position model. The record is from RNAcentral.